RNAcentral lists this ribosomal RNA (222 nucleotides) under uncultured bacterium. RNAcentral's name for it is "partial 16S ribosomal RNA". It matches the Rfam family "Bacterial small subunit ribosomal RNA", at positions 524 to 744 of the family's 1533-position model. The record is from RNAcentral.
UACGUAGGCAGCAAGCGUUGUUCGGAAUUACUGGGCGUAAAGAGUGUGUAGGCGGUGCUCUAAGUUCGGUGUGAAAUCUCCCGGCUCAACUGGGAGGGUGCGCCGGAAACUGGAGUGCUGGAGCGCGGGAGAGGAAAGCGGAAUUCCUGGUGUAGCGGUGAAAUGCGUAGAUAUCAGGAGGAACACCGGCGGGUGUAGACGGCUUUCUGGACCGUAGCUGAC